AAUCUGCCCUGGGUAAGUCGGGACCUAAGGCGAGGCCGACAGGCGUAGUCGAUGGACAACGGGUUGAUAUUCCCGUACCGGCGAAACAACGAUCCUGCCGAGGCAGUCAAUGCUAAACACGCAAGACCACGGGAGACCUUCGGGUCGAGCGUGGUUGAGUCUGUGACCCAAGACUGUAUUAGGCAAGCUGCGGAGGGACGCAGGAAGGUAGCCCAUCCCGGGCGAUGGUUGUCCCGGGCUAAGUGCGUAGGGUGAGGUGUAGGCAAAUCCGCACCUCGUGAGCCUGAGACAUGACGGCGAGGAAGCUUAUGGCUUCUGAAGUGGGUGAUCCUAUGCUGCCUAGAAAAUCUUCGUGAGCGAGUUGUCAGCCGCCCGUACCCUAAACCGACACAGGUGGAUAGGUAGAGAAUACCAAGGCGAUCGAGAGAAUCGUGGUGAAGGAACUCGGCAAAAUACCCCCGUAACUUCGGGAUAAGGGGGACCUGAUUCGUAAGAACACUAGCUGUUCGAAGCGUUGAGGGUCGCAGAGACCAGGCCCAAGCGACUGUUUACUAAAAACACAGGUCCGUGCCAAGUUGUAAGACGAUGUAUACGGACUGACUCCUGCCCGGUGCUGGAAGGUUAAGGGGAAGUGUUAGCGCGCAAGUGCGAAGCACCGAACUUAAGCCCCAGUAAACGGCGGUGGUAACUAUAACCAUCCUAAGGUAGCGAAAUUCCUUGUCGGGUAAGUUCCGACCUGCACGAAUGGAGUAACGAUUUGGGCGCUGUCUCCACCACGAACUCGGCGAAAUUGCAUUACGAGUAAAGAUGCUCGUUACGCGCAGCAGGACGGAAAGACCCCGGGACCUUUACUAUAGUUUGGUAUUGGUGUUCGGUACAGCUUGUGUAGGAUAGGUGGGAGACUUUGAAGCAUCAACGCCAGUUGGUGUGGAGUCAACGUUGAAAUACCACUCUGGCUGUUCUGGAUAUCUAACCUAGGUCCAUUAUCUGGAUCAGGGACAGUGCCUGAUGGGUAGUUUGACUGGGGCGGUCGCCUCCUAAAAUGUAACGGAGGCGCCCAAAGGUUCCCUCAGCCUGGUUGGCAAUCAGGUUUUGAGUGUAAGUGCACAAGGGAGCUUGACUGUGAGAGGGACACCUCAAGCAGGGACGAAAGUCGGGACUAGUAAUCUGACGGUGGCACGUGGAAGCGCCGUCACUCAACGGAUAAAAGGUACCCCGGGGAUAACAGGCUGAUCUUGCCCGAGCGUCCAUAGCGACGGCAUGGUUUGGCACCUCGAUGUCGGCUCGUCGCAUCCUGGGGCUGGAGUCGGUCCCAAGGGUUGGGCUGUUCGCCCAUUAAAGCGGCACGCGAGCUGGGUUUAGAACGUCGUGAGACAGUUCGGUCCCCAUCCGCUGCGCGCGUAGGAAUCUUGAGAGAGGCUGUCCUCAGUACGAGAGGACCGGGACGGACAAACCUCUGGUGUGCCAGUUGUUCUGCCAAGAGCACGGCUGGUUGGCUACGUUUGGAAGUGAUAACCGCUGAAAGCAUCUAAGCGGGAAGCACGUCUCAAGAUGAGGGUUCCCACAGAGUUAAUCUGGUAAGGCCCCCGGAAGACCACCGGGUUGAUAGGUCGGAUGUGGAAGUUCAGCAAUGCAUGGAGCUGACCGAUACUAAUAGGCC
This 1660-nucleotide ribosomal RNA is filed under the name metagenome. RNAcentral describes it as "bacterial LSU rRNA". It matches the Rfam family "Bacterial large subunit ribosomal RNA", at positions 1367 to 2910 of the family's 2925-position model. The record is from RNAcentral.